RNAcentral lists this ribosomal RNA (305 nucleotides) under uncultured bacterium. Its description in RNAcentral is "bacterial SSU rRNA". It matches the Rfam family "Bacterial small subunit ribosomal RNA", at positions 334 to 653 of the family's 1533-position model. The record is from RNAcentral.
CGGUCCUACGGGAGGCAGCAGUGGGGAAUAUUGCACAAUGGGGGAAACCCUGAUGCAGCAACGCCGCGUGAAGGAAGACGGUUUUCGGAUUGUAAGCUUCUUUUCUUAGUGUAGAAGCAAGUGACGGUAGCUAAGGAAUAAGCAUCGGCUAACCACGUGCCAGCAGCCGCGGUAAUACGUAGGAUGCGAGCGUUAUCCGGAAUUACUGGGUGUAAAGGGAGCGCAGGCGGGACUGCAAGUUGGCUGUGAAAUACCGCAGCUUAACUGCGGAGCUGCCUCCAAAACUGGAGUUCUUGAGUGGAGUA